ACGAACGCUGGCGGCGUGCUUAACACAUGCAAGUCGAACGGAAAGGCCCUGCUUUUGUGGGGUGCUCGAGUGGCGAACGGGUGAGUAACACGUGAGUAACCUGCCCUUGACUUUGGGAUAACUUCAGGAAACUGGGGCUAAUACCGGAUAGGAGCUCCUGCUGCAUGGUGGGGGUUGGAAAGUUUCGGCGGUUGGGGAUGGACUCGCGGCUUAUCAGCUUGUUGGUGGGGUAGUGGCUUACCAAGGCUUUGACGGGUAGCCGGCCUGGGGGGGUGACCGGCCACAUUGGGACUGAGAUACGGCCCAGACUCCUACGGGAGGCAGCAGUGGGGAAUAUUGCACAAUGGGCGGAAGCCUGAUGCAGCAACGCCGCGUGCGGGAUGACGGCCUUCGGGUUGUAAACCGCUUUCGCCUGUGACGAAGCGUGAGUGACGGUAAUGGGUAAAGAAGCACCGGCUAACUACGUG
This 467-nucleotide ribosomal RNA is filed under the name uncultured bacterium. Its description in RNAcentral is "partial 16S ribosomal RNA". It matches the Rfam family "Bacterial small subunit ribosomal RNA", at positions 29 to 507 of the family's 1533-position model. The record is from RNAcentral.